GUAUGCUGUUUUCUCUUUAGAUUAUAUAAAUCUUUCAUCUUUUACUAAAGAUUUCCAUGAAGAGGAACAUUGAGUUUUAACAAUAUGGACUCUAGCAGUUCCAGAAA
Molecule: small nuclear RNA, 107 nt
Organism: Chiloscyllium plagiosum (whitespotted bambooshark)
Lineage: Eukaryota; Metazoa; Chordata; Chondrichthyes; Orectolobiformes; Hemiscylliidae
Product: U5 spliceosomal RNA
Source: RefSeq, a predicted model, not a curated record